Molecule: long non-coding RNA, 598 nt
Filed under: Prunus persica (peach)
Lineage: Eukaryota; Viridiplantae; Streptophyta; Magnoliopsida; Rosales; Rosaceae
Description: long non-coding RNA (PPER_LNC003903)
Source: RNAcentral
CUCACAGCAACUUUUGACUGUUUCACUUGAAUGCAACCAAGUGCUUGGCCCAUUUUUCAGCUCUGCAACUAGUAAUAUGUAUAAUAAAACAGUGUAUGAGAGUGGGAGACAAAUUUCUUUGCAUUAUAGCUAGAAGAUCACCAUCCAUGGCAUAAAGAUCCUUCUUUUAUCCAAAAACAUAAAUUCAGAAUGAGAUCACAAGAAAAUAUGAAGCAUUUAAGCAUAGAUCUAACGAAAAUGAUAUAACCAAAAGAAUAAACAAACAAAAAACUGAAAAUAUCAGACUCAGUAUUACAUAAUUCUUUUAUUUUCCUCUGUUUUCUCAGCAACCAAACAGAAAUCUCACGUCAACUAAAUGCACUUAUUUCAGACUAAUUCUGGUAUUGGCUUUCUUUUUUCUUUCCCCUCUUUUGUUUCCUCUCAGAAAGACAAAAAAGCAAACAAUAUCAAUUAGCACUAAAGGGAAUGGCCGCAGUGAUUUCAGUUUUCAGAGAGUCAGAGUGUGAAGUACGAACGGACUCGAAGAGACAUCUUUUUCGUUUUCCAUUUCAAAAAAUUUCUGAGCAACCAAAGGAGAGAAACAGAGUUCAAGUUGUAC